Molecule: non-coding RNA, 89 nt
Organism: Mycena epipterygia
Lineage: Eukaryota; Fungi; Basidiomycota; Agaricomycetes; Agaricales; Mycenaceae
Source: the annotation of a GenBank genome assembly
GCACCGGUGGUGUACGGUACACCCGUCGAAUUAUACAGGAUGUAUAUAAUUGUAAGACGAAGAGCGGGGUUCGAAUCCCCGCCGGUGCA